GCUCCUAUGAAGUUAGCGGCGGACGGGUGAGUAACACGUGGGUAACCUGCCCAUAAGACUGGGAUAACUCCGGGAAACCGGGGCUAAUACCGGAUAACAUUUUGAACUGCAUGGUUCGAAAUUGAAAGGCGGCUUCGGCUGUCACUUAUGGAUGGACCCGCGUCGCAUUAGCUAGUUGGUGAGGUAACGGCUCACCAAGGCAACGAUGCGUAGCCGACCUGAGAGGGUGAUCGGCCACACUGGGACUGAGACACGGCCCAGACUCCUACGGGAGGCAGCAGUAGGGAAUCUUCCGCAAUGGACGAAAGUCUGACGGAGCAACGCCGCGUGAGUGAUGAAGGCUUUCGGGUCGUAAAACUCUGUUGUUAGGGAAGAACAAGUGCUAGUUGAAUAAGCUGGCACCUUGACGGUACCUAACCAGAAAGCCACGGCUAACUACGUGCCAGCAGCCGCGGUAAUACGUAGGUGGCAAGCGUUAUCCGGAAUUAUUGGGCGUAAAGCGCGCGCAGGUGGUUUCUUAAGUCUGAUGUGAAAGCCCACGGCUCAACCGUGGAGGGUCAUUGGAAACUGGGAGACUUGAGUGCAGAAGAGGAAAGUGGAAUUCCAUGUGUAGCGGUGAAAUGCGUAGAGAUAUGGAGGAACACCAGUGGCGAAGGCGACUUUCUGGUCUGUAACUGACACUGAGGCGCGAAAGCGUGGGGAGCAAAACAGGAUUAGAUACCCUGGUAGUCCACGCCGUAAACGAUGAGUGCUAAGUGUUAGAGGGUUUCCGCCCUUUAGUGCUGAAGUUAACGCAUUAAGCACUCCGCCUGGGGAGUACGGCCGCAAGGCUGAAACUCAAAGGAAAUUGACGGGGGGGCCCGCACAAGCGGUGGAGCAUGUGGUUUAA
This 889-nucleotide ribosomal RNA is filed under the name Bacillus thuringiensis. Its description in RNAcentral is "bacterial SSU rRNA". It matches the Rfam family "Bacterial small subunit ribosomal RNA", at positions 80 to 949 of the family's 1533-position model. Lineage: Bacteria; Bacillati; Bacillota; Bacilli; Caryophanales; Bacillaceae. The record is from RNAcentral.